UACGAAGGUCCCAAGCGUUAUCCGGAUUUAUUGGGUUUAAAGGGUGCGUAGGCGGACUAUUAAGUCAGUGGUGAAAGCCCCCAGCCUAACUGGGGAACUGCCAUUGAUACUGAUGGUCUUGAGUACAUUUGAGGUGGGCGGAAUGUGUCAUGUAGCGGUGAAAUGCUUAGAUAUGACACAGAACACCGAUUGCGAAGGCAGCUCACUAAACUGUAACUGACGCUGAGGAGCGAAAGCAUGGGGAGCGAACAGG
Molecule: ribosomal RNA, 253 nt
Filed under: uncultured bacterium
Lineage: Bacteria
Description: partial 16S ribosomal RNA
Rfam family: Bacterial small subunit ribosomal RNA
Source: RNAcentral